GAGAGCCGGUGGCCCUCACUCCGAAUUUCAGGGCCGGAGUCCCAGCGGCCCACCUGAACUCCCUCGGCUGGAGCACGAGCCCGGGGCUGCUGGCUCCUCCUGCCCUGGGGUCGGCUGACUUUUAUAAAGAUUCUCCUCGGGACAGAGGUUUUGGUCUCAGGACUGCAAAACCACGGUCUGUGGGGCAACAGUCUCGGCGCAGCAUCCAAUCCAGGAAGCACUUUUGGCCUUCCUUUCCUGCUCAGUAGUCGUUGCCAAACAGCACUGCUCAAAGCAGUGCCUGGGCGAUCCGGGCCUCUCACAUUUCAAGGCCUGGGCAGCCUUGCGUUUGCUUGGAAAGGCAGCCGUGGCCACCCAAGCGAAGGCCACAGCCGUCUGCUAUCACGCUGCUGAGUCAACACAAACGAGCAGCGGCGACGGGAGCCAGCCAGCGCCUGCCCCGUCCGCGCCCGGCCGGAGACCGAUUCAGCAAAGCCGCCAGGCCCCGGUGCCCGCUUCCGUCCGCCGCCCCGCCUCAAGCCCGUCACCCAGGACCCCGCGAUUUCCCGCCCUCCGAGCCGACCCCCCCGCACCCCUGCAUUAACCGUGUGCACCCUCCGUUCCGUUCGGCGCCUGCGCCCCGGUCGCCCGAGCUCCUCCUCAGGGCUUCAACUUUGCCCGCCUGCUGGUCUCACUCGCGCUCGGUCCAACCUCGCAUUCGGCGGCCCGCGGGGAGGUCUUCCACGGGCCUCGGUUCUUGAUGUGGUAAGAUGAUCAAAAAUCAUGAAGACCCUGGAACCUGAGGCUCUCGCCGUGUAUUUAGAGUAGUCCACUUUUCUUUCUGCACACACUUUUACGCUGCUUCUAUCAGCACAUCGUAGAAACUUGUCUAACCAUUCUGUCGGACUGCUAGAAAGUGCUAGUCGUCUUUGAUUUCUGUUGCCUGCUGUCCCAAUGUUCAUUUACAUUCUUGAAUUCCCCUCCCUCUCCCCCGAAGGCAGGGGGGAAAGUACCAACAUUUUAAUUUGAUGAUGAAUGCGGUGCUUUCUGAAAUACAUUCAGAGAAUGAAGUCCAUCAGGCCAGGUCUCCUCUAAAACGCUAACAUGUUACGGUUUACACCUCCUAGUCCCCCAGCUUCACGUGCUCGUAGCUUGGGCUUUGGGGAGG
This 1147-nucleotide long non-coding RNA is filed under the name Heterocephalus glaber (naked mole-rat). Its description in RNAcentral is "lncRNA (ENSHGLG00000047706.1)". The record is from RNAcentral. Lineage: Eukaryota; Metazoa; Chordata; Mammalia; Rodentia; Bathyergidae.